GGGUGCUCCUCCAGAAUCCCUUCAUUGAUUGUCUUUCUUUUCAACUGUACUGGGGACCUUUAUCCCUAGCCCCAUAUUGGCCUGAAGGGUUGAUAGCUACGGCCCUCCCUCUCCAGCAACUUGCGCUACGGCCUCCGGCUGCUCAGCAGNGAAGUCCCUUCUCCGGCCAUUAACACCUCCUGAGGAGGGAUAGCCAAGUCAAAAGAGACCUCCGUAGUGUCCUGACCCAGAUUUGGGGUAGGAGUACACAUUGGACGAAGGAGGACGAGGAAAGGAGAGGAAAACAGAAAUAAAUAAAAAGGUUUACCUUAAGAUCUGAAACCCUUUGGUGAUGAAAAAAACAACCGUUUCGGGCAAAAAAAGGCAAAACAGAAAAAUAAAAUUAAAGAAGAAAAGCUAAAGAUACAAAAAUGUAAUAAGGUGGGGUGUUUUAUAUAUAUAGUAGCAGG
RNAcentral lists this unclassified non-coding RNA (449 nucleotides) under Hevea brasiliensis (rubber tree). Lineage: Eukaryota; Viridiplantae; Streptophyta; Magnoliopsida; Malpighiales; Euphorbiaceae. The record is from RNAcentral.